UGGGGAAUUUUGCUCAAUGGAGGAAACUCUGAAGCAGCGACACCGCGUGUAGGAUGACGGCCCUUUGGGUUGUAAACUACUGUGGAAAAAUACUAAACAAAUGAAGGUUUUUCUAGAAAGAGGUUGCUAACUCUGUGCCAGCAGCAGCGGUGAUACAGAGACCUCGAGCGUUAUCCGGAUUUACUGGGCGUAAAGCGUUCCGAUCGGUUGAUUGGUGUGUUUGUUGUGAAAUGCCGGGGCUUAACCCCGCGCCUGCAGCGAAAACUACCAAUCUAGAAGGUCAAAGGGGUGGCUAGAACUCUGCAAGUACCGGUGAAAUGGGUUGAUAUGCAGGGGAAUACCAAAAGCGAAGGCAGGCCACUGGGUGACUCUUGACACUGCUAGGACGAAAGCGUGGGUA
This 400-nucleotide ribosomal RNA is filed under the name uncultured bacterium. RNAcentral's name for it is "bacterial SSU rRNA". It matches the Rfam family "Bacterial small subunit ribosomal RNA", at positions 355 to 767 of the family's 1533-position model. The record is from RNAcentral.